RNAcentral lists this long non-coding RNA (868 nucleotides) under Cricetulus griseus (Chinese hamster). RNAcentral's name for it is "lncRNA (ENSCGRG00015001401.2)". Lineage: Eukaryota; Metazoa; Chordata; Mammalia; Rodentia; Cricetidae. The record is from RNAcentral.
GAGCCAUCUGAUGCGGGUGCCGGGGUCUAAGUUCUGGUCCACAGAUAGAACAGGGUGUGGAUGGAAUCCAUAGCCUCGCACUGGCAAGCAUGAAGAAGAAAGCUGAGACCAGAAGAAUGGAUUAGAAUUCAUGAGCCAUUUGUUCAGCUUUGAAUUGAUGGAGCCCUGGCUGGCUGGAGAGGCCAGAGCGAAAACUGGCCGAGGCCCUGCAGAAAUGGACCCAGGCUCUCAUCCUCCCUCUGGCAGAAGGGAAAUGUGAUGUGCAUGUUCACUCUGGAAACCUCCAAAUGUCAGCCCUGAGAAGGUCCCUGAUUCCUCACAGCAGUUCUGUGCGGCAAAACCCUUUGCAGGGAAAAGAAAUUGCCUAAGGUCUCACGUGAGUGAGAAUGAGGACCCGCAGGCAGGGUUCUCUGGCUUCAAAGUCUAGACUUUGCAUUUUAUGUUAAAUCGCCUUGUAUGACAAUGUUAUAUUGCAUAGACAAUAAUAUCUUGCUCUUCUCGGGCAAGAAUGGUCAUGGGAUUUUGUUCAUCUCUGGGAGAAAAAUACAGUCAACCCUCCAAAAUUAUAUACAAAAAAUUUUUAUAUUGAUUUGUUCAUUUGAACUGCAUGGUUAAUGUAGAAGGUGCUGUGAAAAUGCAUGUUGUUGAGGGAAUUUUCUGGGUACAGUGAACAGUCUUUUCUUCAAGACAGCAGUCAUUGGAGGAGGAGCUAUGUGCUCAGCCUGAGCAGACAUCCCAUAUUUGCCUGUGUGCUACUUUGGCUUGUUCAGUGCAUACACCAUGGUGUUUGAACACUAUGUUUUCUUUUCUUCUUCUCAUACACCAAUAAUAAAAUAAAAAGUCAAUAUUAAAAAUGAUUUGAUACAGA